RNAcentral lists this transfer RNA (76 nucleotides) under Actinomycetes bacterium. RNAcentral's name for it is "tRNA-Arg". It matches the Rfam family "tRNA". From Rfam's summary of the family: Transfer RNA (tRNA) molecules are approximately 80 nucleotides in length. Their secondary structure includes four short double-helical elements and three loops (D, anti-codon, and T loops). Lineage: Bacteria; Bacillati; Actinomycetota; Actinomycetes. The record is from RNAcentral.
GCACUCGUAGCUCAAUGGAUAGAGCAUUUGACUACGGAUCAAAAGGUUGUAGGUUCGACUCCUGCCGGGUGCACCA